Long non-coding RNA from Ceratina calcarata, 1638 nucleotides. RefSeq lists it as uncharacterized. The transcript is spliced from 3 exons. The record is from RefSeq and is a predicted model, not a curated record. Lineage: Eukaryota; Metazoa; Arthropoda; Insecta; Hymenoptera; Apidae.
GGCAUAAGUUUCAAGUUUCUUAUUUGAUUCUUUAAUAAAAAUUUAAAACAUGCUCCUUGUAGAUCGAAGGAUGUUUUAAAUACGAAACUAAUCUCUCUGACUCCCAAAAACCAAUUACUUCGUUAAGUCCGAUAUUAAAAAAAUUCUUCAAUUUUGGAAAAUAAAUGGAAAAUAAAUACUUAUGGACUCCACUGUAGACAGAAUAAAUCAAGUAGGAAGAAGAAAAUAUGGAAGCAGAAAGGAGAAAAGGAAUCAAAAUAUUCUCUUGCCGAGAAUAUUUCUAAGUUAAUUCGAUGAAGAUUUGCGAGAAGCAGGACAGUGGAUGGACAGGAAGAGGCUAGUCACGAUGGUGGCACGGAAGGUUGAGACGAGUUCGUUCACGAGUUCUUCCAUUCGUCCUCGACCGGAUCGUUGCAUCCAUAAUGCAAUGACAGUCGGGAACGCCACCCAAGGAAGGGAAAAGGCAGAGAGCUCUUCUGCUCGCGGAGGUGGUUCGGUGUAACGGAAAGCCUGUGUCACCGUUACAGAACACUACGGAGAUGGCGGGGAAGCGAGCGAGCGGACAGCGGGUAGGAACGGGGGACGGAAAAGAGGAGGAAGAGGAAAAAAGAUGAAACGGGGCCGUCUCCGCAAAGGGAGCGAGCGCACGAGAAAUCGUAUAGGAGCAGUCCGCGAUGUUACAUACUACCUUGUAUACCGUUCGACUCUCGUGAAACCUCCGCCAGAAGACGUCGCGUCGUUAAGUGGCGAACGGGUUAGAAAGAGACGGUGAGAACGAUGGAUGAGGAAUGACCGCGAGAAGAGUAGACGAUUGGCGGGAAACAAAAAUGAACUUUAAGACUCUAGAUUAAGGGAGCGUAAUUCAUCGCACGAAACAGAUGGGACGAAUAUUCUUAGGGCCACACGAGCAUCAAUUUGACGGAUGUUUGGCAGAACCGUCUCACGAGGACGCGCGUGUCACGUUCUCCGGCGAGAAUUUUCUUGACCAGUUGUUCGAGCGAGAGAUUAUUCUCCCCGGCGCAUAUGCCAGGUAAACAACGGACCAAGGAGAGUAUCCUCUUUGCCUGGAGUCGAGGGCCACGAUACAUAAAUUUUGCGAUAACGCUUGCAUAUAUUCAAGAGCGCUUUGACCGAACGUUCUCGAAAGCUCGUUCGGAAGUCAGCCACCAAAUUAUUGUGUCUUGCAAUUGCGAUCUAAAGUCAUUAGGUGCUCUGAAAGUCUCGAAGUAUAGCCAGGAAACACUGAACAGGCCCUUUUUCUUAAGUUAUGGGAGAUAGACAAACACAUUUUUUUGACAGGAUGACAAGAUUUACCUCUGAGAUAAUCAAUUAUGAAGGAACUUGAAAAAUUCUAUCAAAUGAUGCAAAUCAAUAAAUAGUCCCAUUUGAAAAAACGAACUUGACCAUCUCAUUAAAUAACAAUGAAAAAAAGAAAUUCGUUUCCAUCGAAAGGUAAGCCGCCUUGAACCGUGCAAGUUUUGUAUAAAAAAAUUCCCAUCUCUUCCACAACUUAGGAAAUAAAGGACUAUCUACUUUACUGUUUCGUGGGACACAUGUACAUAAUUUACUGCAGAGUAAAAAUGGUAACUUUCCUUAUCAAUAUGAAAAUAGGAUGCCGACGAAAAAGUUGAAAUAAGU